AUUGACUUUGCAAAGGAAUAUAAUUUCUACUUCACACUAGAAUGUGUGUGUGUGUUUGGGGGGAGGGGGAAUCCAAGUGAGGCUAGCAGUUAGCCCCUCUCAAAAUGGAAGAAUAUGUUUACUAUACGCUGGUAAAAUUAUACUUUAGAAUCUGCACUCCACAUCUUCAUGCCAAAAUUGGGAGAAUCUACAUGGUAUUCUGUAGACCUGGGCUUUCUGUUGGCUUCUUGAUAUUCCUAACCCAGCAAAGAAUUCUCACUGAGAAAAGUGCCUCUACAUCAAUGAAUUAUGAGUGAUAUCUUUGAGAAGGCAGAAUACAUGUAAUUUGUA
RNAcentral lists this long non-coding RNA (330 nucleotides) under Monodelphis domestica (gray short-tailed opossum). RNAcentral describes it as "lncRNA (ENSMODG00000049151.1)". Lineage: Eukaryota; Metazoa; Chordata; Mammalia; Didelphimorphia; Didelphidae. The record is from RNAcentral.